This 1122-nucleotide long non-coding RNA is filed under the name Canis lupus familiaris (dog). RNAcentral's name for it is "lncRNA (ENSCAFG00040024458.1)". The record is from RNAcentral. Lineage: Eukaryota; Metazoa; Chordata; Mammalia; Carnivora; Canidae.
AUGUUAGUACGGAUCUUGAAACAAACCAAAGUAAACGGAGAAAACCCUAAAAUUCCCUUGGCCUGUUUUCCUAUCCGGUCAGCCCGCCAGUCAUCAAAAUCGGAACAAGGUUCUAAGCAGAAUGGAACUCUUGGUGGUGACAGGUUCCACCAGGGAACCAACUUUUUGGAAAUCACGCGGGUCACGGGGGCCCCGCGCGCGGCCUUCCACGUGCAUCAGUCUCCCCGUGGAAGGCCCCGUCCCCCGAGCCCACGAGCAGCGCAGCGGAAGGUCCGCGGGGAGGGCUCCUCUGGGGUCGCCCCGCACUCAGGAGGCGGCGCUUCCCGUGCCCUUGGGGUCGCGGCGAACCAGGGGCUUCCCUCCGGGCUCACUGGUCUCCCCCGCGCCGCGCCCGCCCCCUCCUCCCCACGCAGCGCUCAGCCCGGGGCGCCGGGGCCGCAGGUGCGCGCGGGCGGGGCCGCGACGGCGGGAACCAGCGAGGCACCUCCGCACCCGCAGCUCGGCGCGGGCCCCGCCCCGGGAGGGCCCCCCCACCCCCCGAAGGUCGCGGCGCCCGUCCCCCGCCCCCCGCCCCCGGGACGGGUCCCGAGCAGGUCCUGGGCGCUUCCCCGGGGGGACCCGCGCCCCAGCGGGAGGAGCGGGACCCGGGGGGGGGGGUCAGUACCUGGUCCCCGGGGUCGCCCGUCCCCCGCCCCCGGGGACGGGUCCGAAGUAGGUCCUGGGAGCUUCCCCGGGGGGACCCGCAACCCAACGGGAGGAGCGGGGCGUGGUACCCGGCCCCCGGGGUCGCCCGCCCCCCGCCCGGGCGCUUCCCCCGAGGCACGGGCGCCCGGGCGGGAGGAGCUGGCCCGGGAGGAGCGGGCCGUGCUGCGCGGGGGGCGGGGCGGGCGCGGGGCGCGGGGCGCGGGGGGCGGGGGGCGGGGCCGGCCCGCGGGGCAGGUGGGCGAGCGGCGGCGCGGGCCGCGGGGACCCGGAGGCGCGGGGAGCGGGCGGGGGAGCGGGCGGGGGGAGCCGCGCGGCGCGGCCGUCGGGAGCUCGGCGGGGAGCGGGGGGCGCGCGGCGGCAGGACCCGCCUCCCCGGCCGCGUGCACACCCGCGCCCACCGCGGCUCGGGCCGGCUGA